This 465-nucleotide ribosomal RNA is filed under the name Vreelandella stevensii. RNAcentral describes it as "partial 16S ribosomal RNA". It matches the Rfam family "Bacterial small subunit ribosomal RNA", at positions 338 to 795 of the family's 1533-position model. Lineage: Bacteria; Pseudomonadati; Pseudomonadota; Gammaproteobacteria; Oceanospirillales; Halomonadaceae. The record is from RNAcentral.
CCUACGGGGGGCAGCAGUGGGGAAUAUUGGACAAUGGGGGGAACCCUGAUCCAGCCAUGCCGCGUGUGUGAAGAAGGCCCUCGGGUUGUAAAGCACUUUCAGUGAGGAAGAACGCCUGGUGGUUAAUACCCAUCAGGAAAGACAUCACUCACAGAAGAAGCACCGGCUAACUCCGUGCCAGCAGCCGCGGUAAUACGGAGGGUGCGAGCGUUAAUCGGAAUUACUGGGCGUAAAGCGCGCGUAGGUGGCUUGAUAAGCCGGUUGUGAAAGCCCCGGGCUCAACCUGGGAACGACAUCCGGAACUGUCAAGCUAGAGUGCAGGAGAGGAAGGUAGAAUUCCCGGUGUAGCGGUGAAAUGCGUAGAGAUCGGGAGGAAUACCAGUGGCGAAGGCGGCCUUCUGGACUGACACUGACACUGAGGUGCGAAAGCGUGGGUAGCAAACAGGAUUAGAUACCCGGGUAGUC